Molecule: long non-coding RNA, 560 nt
Filed under: Chinchilla lanigera (long-tailed chinchilla)
Lineage: Eukaryota; Metazoa; Chordata; Mammalia; Rodentia; Chinchillidae
Description: lncRNA (ENSCLAG00000022373.1)
Source: RNAcentral
CUGGACUUGAGCUCACUUUGUAGCCCAGGCUGGUCUCAAACUCACAACCAUCUUCCUGCCUCAGCCUCCCGAGUGCUGGGAUUACAGGCGUGCGCCACCACGUCCAGCUCAUAGCUGGUAACAUUUAAGGGCUCAAAAUUGAAGGUGAGGCACACCCCAAACCCAGGGGUCUUUUGAGGGUCAGAAUCACCACCUCUCUGGCAUCUCUGUGAGGGACGUGGAGAAAGCCCGCCAAGCUGCAGGCUGAGCUGGACACACCUCCCACAUCUUCCCGUCAGGAAGGGUGAAGGACGCUGGGGGCCCGGCUUGCGCCCGCUCCUUCUCUGGGAAGACCUCCUCCAGCCAAGCUGGCCGCCUCACCCAGCCCUCAGCAAGUCGUUCCCACACCUCCUCCCUCGGUCCCUAGCCGGCACCGACACCUACUGCACAGGACAAAUCCAGCUGAAGGUGGUGGUGAAAGUCUCUAACCCCAGCACUCUGGAAGGUCAAGGCAGGAAGACUGAAAGUUCAAGUCCAGCCUGGGCAACUUAUCGAGCCCCUGUCUCAAAAUUUAAAAAUUU